GGGUUGUGAGGUUAAGCGACUAAGCGUACACGGUGGAUGCCCUGGCAGUCAGAGGCGAUGAAGGACGUGCUAAUCUGCGAUAAGCGUCGGUAAGGUGAUAUGAACCGUUAUAACCGGCGAUUUCCGAAUGGGGAAACCCAGUGUGUUUCGACACACUAUCAUUAACUGAAUCCAUAGGUUAAUGAGGCGAACCGGGGGAACUGAAACAUCUAAGUACCCCGAGGAAAAGAAAUCAACCGAGAUUCCCCCAGUAGCGGCGAGCGAACGGGGAGCAGCCCAGAGCCUGAAUCAGUAUGUGUGUUAGUGGAAGCGUCUGGAAAGGCGCGCGAUACAGGGUGACAGCCCCGUACACAAAAAUGCACAUGCUGUGAGCUCGAUGAGUAGGGCGGGACACGUGGUAUCCUGUCUGAAUAUGGGGGGACCAUCCUCCAAGGCUAAAUACUCCUGACUGACCGAUAGUGAACCAGUACCGUGAGGGAAAGGCGAAAAGAACCCCGGCGAGGGGAGUGAAAAAGAACCUGAAACCGUGUACGUACAAGCAGUGGGAGCACAGAGCAAUCUGUGUGACUGCGUACCUUUUGUAUAAUGGGUCAGCGACUUAUAUUCUGUAGCAAGGUUAACCGAAUAGGGGAGCCGAAGGGAAACCGAGUCUUAACUGGGCGUUAAGUUGCAGGGUAUAGACCCGAAACCCGGUGAUCUAGCCAUGGGCAGGUUGAAGGUUGGGUAACACUAACUGGAGGACCGAACCGACUAAUGUUGAAAAAUUAGCGGAUGACUUGUGGCUGGGGGUGAAAGGCCAAUCAAACCGGGAGAUAGCUGGUUCUCCCCGAAAGCUAUUUAGGUAGCGCCUCGUGAAUUCAUCUCCGGGGGUAGAGCACUGUUUCGGCAAGGGGGUCAUCCCGACUUACCAACCCGAUGCAAACUGCGAAUACCGGAGAAUGUUAUCACGGGAGACACACGGCGGGUGCUAACGUCCGUCGUGAAGAGGGAAACAACCCAGACCGCCAGCUAAGGUCCCAAAGUCAUGGUUAAGUGGGAAACGAUGUGGGAAGGCCCAGACAGCCAGGAUGUUGGCUUAGAAGCAGCCAUCAUUUAAAGAAAGCGUAAUAGCUCACUGGUCGAGUCGGCCUGCGCGGAAGAUGUAACGGGGCUAAACCAUGCACCGAAGCUGCGGCAGCGACGCUUAUGCGUUGUUGGGUAGGGGAGCGUUCUGUAAGCCUGUGAAGGUGUGCUGUGAGGUAUGCUGGAGGUAUCAGAAGUGCGAAUGCUGACAUAAGUAACGAUAAAGCGGGUGAAAAGCCCGCUCGCCGGAAGACCAAGGGUUCCUGUCCAACGUUAAUCGGGGCAGGGUGAGUCGACCCCUAAGGCGAGGCCGAAAGGCGUAGUCGAUGGGAAACAGGUUAAUAUUCCUGUACUUGGUGUUACUGCGAAGGGGGGACGGAGAAGGCUAUGUUGGCCGGGCGACGGUUGUCCCGGUUUAAGCGUGUAGGCUGGUUUUCCAGGCAAAUCCGGAAAAUCAAGGCUGAGGCGUGAUGACGAGGCACUACGGUGCUGAAGCAACAAAUGCCCUGCUUCCAGGAAAAGCCUCUAAGCAUCAGGUAACAUCAAAUCGUACCCCAAACCGACACAGGUGGUCAGGUAGAGAAUACCAAGGCGCUUGAGAGAACUCGGGUGAAGGAACUAGGCAAAAUGGUGCCGUAACUUCGGGAGAAGGCACGCUGAUAUGUAGGUGAAGCGACUUGCUCGUGGAGCUGAAAUCAGUCGAAGAUACCAGCUGGCUGCAACUGUUUAUUAAAAACACAGCACUGUGCAAACACGAAAGUGGACGUAUACGGUGUGACGCCUGCCCGGUGCCGGAAGGUUAAUUGAUGGGGUCAGCGCAAGCGAAGCUCUUGAUCGAAGCCCCGGUAAACGGCGGCCGUAACUAUAACGGUCCUAAGGUAGCGAAAUUCCUUGUCGGGUAAGUUCCGACCUGCACGAAUGGCGUAAUGAUGGCCAGGCUGUCUCCACCCGAGACUCAGUGAAAUUGAACUCGCUGUGAAGAUGCAGUGUACCCGCGGCAAGACGGAAAGACCCCGUGAACCUUUACUAUAGCUUGACACUGAACAUUGAGCCUUGAUGUGUAGGAUAGGUGGGAGGCUUUGAAGUGUGGACGCCAGUCUGCAUGGAGCCGACCUUGAAAUACCACCCUUUAAUGUUUGAUGUUCUAACGUUGACCCGUAAUCCGGGUUGCGGACAGUGUCUGGUGGGUAGUUUGACUGGGGCGGUCUCCUCCUAAAGAGUAACGGAGGAGCACGAAGGUUGGCUAAUCCUGGUCGGACAUCAGGAGGUUAGUGCAAUGGCAUAAGCCAGCUUGACUGCGAGCGUGACGGCGCGAGCAGGUGCGAAAGCAGGUCAUAGUGAUCCGGUGGUUCUGAAUGGAAGGGCCAUCGCUCAACGGAUAAAAGGUACUCCGGGGAUAACAGGCUGAUACCGCCCAAGAGUUCAUAUCGACGGCGGUGUUUGGCACCUCGAUGUCGGCUCAUCACAUCCUGGGGCUGAAGUAGGUCCCAAGGGUAUGGCUGUUCGCCAUUUAAAGUGGUACGCGAGCUGGGUUUAGAACGUCGUGAGACAGUUCGGUCCCUAUCUGCCGUGGGCGCUGGAGAACUGAGGGGGGCUGCUCCUAGUACGAGAGGACCGGAGUGGACGCAUCACUGGUGUUCGGGUUGUCAUGCCAAUGGCACUGCCCGGUAGCUAAAUGCGGAAGAGAUAAGUGCUGAAAGCAUCUAAGCACGAAACUUGCCCCGAGAUGAGUUCUCCCUGACCCUUUAAGGGUCCUGAAGGAACGUUGAAGACGACGACGUUGAUAGGCCGGGUGUGUAAGCGCAGCGAUGCGUUGAGCUAACCGGUACUAAUGAACCGUGAGGCUUAACCUUACAACGCCGAAG
RNAcentral lists this ribosomal RNA (2927 nucleotides) under Escherichia coli. RNAcentral describes it as "bacterial LSU rRNA". It matches the Rfam family "Bacterial large subunit ribosomal RNA". The record is from RNAcentral. Lineage: Bacteria; Pseudomonadati; Pseudomonadota; Gammaproteobacteria; Enterobacterales; Enterobacteriaceae.